This 337-nucleotide unclassified non-coding RNA is filed under the name Hevea brasiliensis (rubber tree). Lineage: Eukaryota; Viridiplantae; Streptophyta; Magnoliopsida; Malpighiales; Euphorbiaceae. The record is from RNAcentral.
UCUGUAGGAGAAGGCGCUUGGUUUCUUCAAAGUUCACUCUCAAGCGCUCUCCAAGUGGCCACAAUUCUUUGGAUACUAGAAGCUCGUCAUAUAACGCAGCAAUUCCUGGAUCACCCUUGGCAAACACCAUCUCGACCAAGUCAAUUGUGACCCUAAAGAAGGGCCAUUGAUUGUACAUCUCCUGUAGCAUUUGAAGAUUCUUUACAUCCUUCUCAAUGGCGUGCUUAAAUGCUGCCCCAAAGCCAAGCCAAACAGGUAGAUGAAACCUUGUCUGAGUCCAUGCAAAGAUCCAAGGGAUUGCUCGGAGUGAUUCAAUCCCACCACUUGGCUUCCUUUU